This 148-nucleotide non-coding RNA is filed under the name Gorilla gorilla gorilla (western lowland gorilla). Lineage: Eukaryota; Metazoa; Chordata; Mammalia; Primates; Hominidae. The record is from Rfam by way of RNAcentral.
GCCGGGCGUGGUGGUGCAUGCCUGUAAUCCCAGCUACUUGGGAGGCUGAGGCAGGAGAAUCGCUUGAACCCAGGAGGCGGAGGUUGCAGUGAACCAAGAUCGUGUCACUGCAGUCCAGCCUGGGCGACAGAGCAAGACUCCGUCUCAA